CGGCGUGGUUAGACAUGCAAGUCGAACGAGAAGCUUAUUCNGGGGAGUGGAGAGUGGCGCACGGGUGAGUAACACGUGAGCAACCUGCCGGGAAGCCCGGGAUAGCCCUCCGAAAGGAGGAUUAAUACCGGAUGUGGCCACCCUGCGAUUGCAGGGGAAGCUAAAGGAUUAUUCACUUCCCGAGGGGCUCGCGGCCCAUCAGCUUGUUGGUGAGGGUAACGGCCCACCAAGGCGACAACGGGUAGCUGGUCUGAGAGGAUGGUCAGCCACACUGGAACUGAGACACGGUCCAGACACCUACGGGUGGCAGCAGUCGAGAAUCAUUCGCAAUGGGGGAAACCCUGACGAUGCGACGCCGCGUGGAGGAUGAAGGCCUUAGGGUUGUAAACUCCUGUCAAGAGGGAAUAAGCAAGUGAAGGUACCUCUAGAGGAAGGGGCGGCUAAUUCCGUGCCAGCAGCCGCGGUAACACGGAAGCCCCGAGCGUUGUUCGGAUUCAUUGGGCGUAAAGGGUGCGUAGGCGGCGCGGAAAGUCCGGCGUGAAAGGCAGGGGCUCAACCUCUGGACUGCGUUGGAUACUUCCGUGCUUGAGGACUGGAGGGGAGACUGGAAUUCACGGUGUAGCAGUGAAAUGCGUAGAUAUCGUGAGGAAGACCGGUGGCGAAGGCGAGUCUCUGGACAGAUCCUGACGCUGAGGCACGAAGGCUGGGGGAGCGAACAGGAUUAGAUACCCUGGUAGUCCCAGCAGUAAGCGAUGUGAGCUUGAUGUGGGGGGAUUCGACCCCUUCCGUGUCGAAGCUAACGCGAUAAGCUCACCG
Molecule: ribosomal RNA, 816 nt
Filed under: uncultured organism
Description: bacterial SSU rRNA
Rfam family: Bacterial small subunit ribosomal RNA
Source: RNAcentral